AACGAACGCUGGCGGCAUGCCUAACACAUGCCAGUCGAACGAGACCUUCGGGUCUAGUGGCGCACGGGUGCGUAACGCGUGGGAACCUGCCCUUAGGUUCGGAAUAACUCCCCGAAAGGGGUGCUAAUACCGGAUAAUGUCUUCGGACCAAAGAUUUAUCGCCUUUGGAUGGGCCCGCGUUGGAUUAGCUAGUUGGUAGGGUAAAAGCCUACCAAGGCGACGAUCCAUAGCUGGUCUGAGAGGAUGAUCAGCCACACUGGGACUGAGACACGGCCCAGACUCCUACGGGAGGCAGCAGUGGGGAAUAUUGGACAAUGGGCGAAAGCCUGAUCCAGCAAUGCCGCGUGAGUGAUGAAGGCCUUAGGGAUGUAAAGCUCUUUUACCCGGGAUGAUAAUGACAGUACCGGGAGAAUAAGCUCCGGCUAACUCCGUG
Molecule: ribosomal RNA, 433 nt
Filed under: uncultured bacterium
Lineage: Bacteria
Description: partial 16S ribosomal RNA
Rfam family: Bacterial small subunit ribosomal RNA
Source: RNAcentral